GCUUAGCCCUAAACCUCAGUAGUUAAAGCAACAAAACUACUCGCCAGAAUACUACAAGCAACGGCUUGAAACUCAAAGGACUUGGCGGUGCUUCACAUCCCCCUAGAGGAGCCUGUCCUGUAAUCGAUAAACCCCGAUCCACCCUACCUUCUCUUGCUUAGCCUAUAUACCGCCAUCUUCAGCAAACCCUGAUAAAGGCUACAAAGUGAGCGCAAAUGUCCCCUUUCACAAAAACGUUAGGUCAAGGUGUAGCCCAUGAGAUGGUAAAAGAUGGGCUACAUUUUCUACUUCAGAAUACCCUACGAUAACUCUUAUGAAAUCUAAGAGUCAAAGGAGGAUUUAGCAGUAAAUUAAGAAUAGAGUGCUUAAUUGAACCAGGCCAUAAAGCACGC
Molecule: ribosomal RNA, 392 nt
Filed under: Cercopithecus petaurista (lesser white-nosed monkey)
Lineage: Eukaryota; Metazoa; Chordata; Mammalia; Primates; Cercopithecidae
Description: partial 12S small subunit ribosomal RNA
Rfam family: Bacterial small subunit ribosomal RNA
Source: RNAcentral